This is a long non-coding RNA of Clupea harengus (Atlantic herring), 394 nucleotides long. The record is from Ensembl. NCBI's taxonomy places the organism in Eukaryota, Metazoa, Chordata, Actinopteri, Clupeiformes, Clupeidae.
GGAUGAUUUGAGAGGGUGUGCGGGCACACUAGCAUACAACACCCUGAAGUGCUGACAAAGGUCGGUUAUAACACACACAUCAUCACGCCACAGCAACUACACUUUUGAGCCGGGGAGGGAUUGGAGGGUGGAAGAUGGGUCUGUGGGCCCUUAUUUCAUACGGCAACGUGCACCACGACCGGGCUUCGCGCAUCAGCAACUGCGUAGUGAGAAUCAGCUGGAUACUUAUAUUUAUAUUUGCUAAUUUAAUCGACACAAAGCAGGCAUAGCCUUGAUUUCCCUGUGGACACAGAAGACUUCUCAAAACAUUGUUGUGUGGAUGCAAAAUGUUUUAAAAACACAAAGGAAAAACUGCGCAAAGGAAAAACUGCGCUAUCAAAACACUCCAAUGGCG